CCUACGGGAGGCAGCAGUGGGGAAUAUUGGACAAUGGGCGCAAGCCUGAUCCAGCCAUACCGCGUGGGUGAAGAAGGCCUUCGGGUUGUAAAGCCCUUAUUGUUGGGAAAGAAAUCCUGUCGAUUAAAUACUCGGUGGGGAUGACGGUACCCAUAAGAAUAAGCACCGGCUAACUUCGUGCCAGCAGCCGCGGUAAUACGAAGGGUGCAAGCGUUACUCGGAAUUACUGGGCGUAAAGCG
RNAcentral lists this ribosomal RNA (240 nucleotides) under uncultured bacterium. Its description in RNAcentral is "partial 16S ribosomal RNA". It matches the Rfam family "Bacterial small subunit ribosomal RNA", at positions 338 to 567 of the family's 1533-position model. The record is from RNAcentral.